Molecule: ribosomal RNA, 497 nt
Filed under: uncultured bacterium
Lineage: Bacteria
Description: partial 16S ribosomal RNA
Rfam family: Bacterial small subunit ribosomal RNA
Source: RNAcentral
GGGGGGGGGGGGGGGGGGGGGGGGGGCGGGCGGGGCGGGCGAACGGACGAGGGGCUUGCUCCUCUGACGUUAGCGGCGGACGGGUGAGUAACACGUGGAUAACCUACCUAGAAGACUGGGAUAACUUCGGGAAACCGGAGCUAAUACCGGAUAAUAUCUUGAACCGCAUGGUUUAUUAUUGAAAUACGGUGUUUCUUUCACUUAUAGAUGGCUCCACUCCCCAUUAGCUAGUUGGUAGGGUCACGGCUUACCAAGGCAACGAUCCGUCGCGGACAGGCGCGGGUGAUCGGCCACACUGGAACUGAGACACGGUCCAGACUACUACGGGAGGGAGCAGUAGGGAAUCUUCCGCAAUGGGCGAAAGCCUGACGGAGCAACGCCGAGUGAGUGAUGAAGGUCUUCGGAGCGUAAAACUCUGUUACUAGGGAAGAACAAAUGUGUAAGUAACUAUGCACGUCUUGACGGUAACUAAUCAGAAAGCCACGGCUAACUACGUG